AGUAAACAAUUUCAUCAAUUUCUAUUGAUAAAAACUAGCUUGAUUGAUAGAAUAAUUAGACAGUUACACAAAGUGUGUCGUGUGUACAUUAUGCUGACGUACGUGAUAAGUUUUUAACAAUAAACAUGAAUAGAAUUUUUUAUA
RNAcentral lists this microRNA precursor (144 nucleotides) under Gossypium hirsutum (cotton). Its description in RNAcentral is "MIR7502 microRNA precursor family". It matches the Rfam family "MIR7502 microRNA precursor family". The record is from Rfam by way of RNAcentral. Lineage: Eukaryota; Viridiplantae; Streptophyta; Magnoliopsida; Malvales; Malvaceae.